UACGUAGGGUGCAAGCGUUAAUCGGAAUUACUGGGCGUAAAGCGUGCGCAGGCGGUUAUUUAAGUCAGAUGUGAAAGCCCCGGGCUUAACCUGGGAACUGCGUUUGAAACUGGAUAGCUAGAGUCUGUCAGAGGGGGGUAGAAUUCCACGUGUGAGCAGUGAAAUGCGUAGAGAUGUGGAGGAAUACCGAUGGCGAAGGCAGCCCCCUGGGAUAAGACUGACGCUCAUGCACGAAAGGCGUGGGGAGCAA
This 250-nucleotide ribosomal RNA is filed under the name uncultured bacterium. RNAcentral describes it as "partial 16S ribosomal RNA". It matches the Rfam family "Bacterial small subunit ribosomal RNA", at positions 524 to 771 of the family's 1533-position model. The record is from RNAcentral.